CGGGCUUCGUUCCAGCUUUUCCAUUAUUAAUAGUGUCCUGACAGAUGCGAACCCAAGGUCGAGAAGAAGAACACAUGACGUGUUCGCAGAAAGUGGACUUGCCACUGCCCGGUGCACCCACCAAGAUCACCACGAUUGGCUUUGUCUCCUCCUCUCCACUUUUCUCUGUAAGAAAAUCCAUAAUAUCUAUAAGAAGGCAAAUUCAAAAACCUAAAGAAAAAGAUUGAAUUCCA
This 233-nucleotide unclassified non-coding RNA is filed under the name Hevea brasiliensis (rubber tree). Lineage: Eukaryota; Viridiplantae; Streptophyta; Magnoliopsida; Malpighiales; Euphorbiaceae. The record is from RNAcentral.